Cornus florida is the source of this 1160-nucleotide long non-coding RNA. RefSeq lists it as uncharacterized. Lineage: Eukaryota; Viridiplantae; Streptophyta; Magnoliopsida; Cornales; Cornaceae. The transcript is spliced from 3 exons. The record is from RefSeq and is a predicted model, not a curated record.
AUGGAUUUCAACACUUCUCAGGAUGGAUAUUGUUGUUGGUGGUUAUUUGUUAGGAUCAUUGGAUAUAUUCCCUAAUCUGUUUGUAGAAGCUUCACUUUCUAGAGGAUAUGUUCUGGAAAUUGCUAGAUAGAUUUCUGACAUCAUUUUUGUGUAGAAUGUGAUCAUUUGGCUGCAAUCACGAAAGGGAUUGAAUCACCAAAAUAAUUGUGGUUGAAUGGUUUCUGACAUUUAAUUUCAGUUUGUCUAUUAUGAAGGUGGAAAACUUUUAUGCUUGUUCAGAUUCUAAGAAGACAAAGAAAUUCAGCAACCAAGUGAAGCAUUUUUGAAUUCAAAAACAUUGGAAGGGGGAAUGGGUUUUGAGCAUUAGUAAGACUGGUGGAACUGAUGCAGUUGCAAAAUUUGUAGCCCACAUCCCCUCUCAAUCAGUUGAGGUAGACACCAGUGAAGGCAGAUGCAACCAGCGCAACUCGGAUAAUAACACAUGAAUGGGGAGUAGCUAAGCUCAUGCAAUUUCCCCAACCCAGAGCUCAUCACUCAAAUUAUAUGUUUCCUUGGCAUUGUAUUUCCAAUUUUGCACGUCUGUCCCGUUUUGCAGUGGGAUUUUGGGGCAUGGUAAGAGAAUGUUGAAAUGGAUUGGGGAGAAUAUAAAUGUGUGUGUAAUACACACACAUUUCUAGUGAUUGAGGAGAAGAUGAGUCAUUGGUCCUGAUGAAGCUCUCAUCACAUUGAAAUGUCCACACGGUAGCUAAAAUUUGAUUUAGUUUUAAUCAUCAGUGGUAGAGUUGGAAAUUUAACUUGGUGAGAGUAAUGUUGAACAAUGACAAGACAAUUUUUCUUUUUAUUAAAAUAAUAAAUGAAAAAACGUAAAUAUCUCCUUAUACUAUUUUUAUUUAUUUAUGAUCAUUCUCAAUCAAUUUUCAUAUUUUAAACUUCGCAUAAUAAUUUUUUUUGAUAAUUAGAUAAUCUCGGUAAUAUAUUGUUACAUGUAGAAAGAUUGCAUGUGUCUAAUAGUAAAUUAUGAGGUGUUUUAUGCUCGUCGAUGAAAAAAAUGUGUAAAAAAUAUGUAAUAAAUUACUUGGGAGUGUGAAUACCAUCUCCAUAUUUCAAUUCCUUUAAUGACAAAAAAAAAAAAUGCAUUUUGACCAAUAUAUAUAUAUAUG